GUGGAGCAUGUGGUUUAAUUCGAAGAUACGCGAAGAACCUUWCCUGGCCUUGACAUUGAUAGAAUCUGCUAGAGAUAGCGGAGUGCCCUUCGGGGAGCUUGAAAACAGGUGCUGCACGGCUGUCGUCAGCUCGUGUCGUGAGAUGUUGGGUUAAGUCCCGCAACGAGCGCAACCCUCGUGAUUAGUUACUAACGGUUCGGCCGAGGACUCUAAUCAGACUGCCUUCGUAAGGAGGAGGAAGGUGAGGACGACGUCAAGUCAUCAUGGCCCUUACGGCCAGGGCGACACACGUGCUACAAUGGGGAGGACAGUGAGACGCAAUACCGCGAGGUGGAGCAAAUCUAUAAACCUUCUCUCAGUUCGGAUUGUUCUCUGCAACUCGAGAACAUGAAGCUGGAAUCACUAGUAAUCGUAGAUCAGCCAUGCUACGGUGAAUACGUUCCCGGGUCUUGUACUCACCGCCCGUCACACCAUGGGAGUUGAUUUCACCCGAAGCGGGGAAGCUAAACUGGCUACCCUCCACGGUGGAAUCAGCGACUGGGGUGAAGUGGUAACAAGGUAACCAAGGGCGAA
This 573-nucleotide ribosomal RNA is filed under the name uncultured bacterium. RNAcentral describes it as "bacterial SSU rRNA". It matches the Rfam family "Bacterial small subunit ribosomal RNA", at positions 932 to 1510 of the family's 1533-position model. The record is from RNAcentral.